Molecule: transfer RNA, 49 nt
Filed under: Ruminococcaceae bacterium P7
Lineage: Bacteria; Bacillati; Bacillota; Clostridia; Eubacteriales; Oscillospiraceae
Description: tRNA_Val_TAC
Rfam family: tRNA
About the family: Transfer RNA (tRNA) molecules are approximately 80 nucleotides in length. Their secondary structure includes four short double-helical elements and three loops (D, anti-codon, and T loops).
Source: RNAcentral
GGGAGUUUAGCUCAGCUGGGAGAGCAUCUGCCUUACAAGCAGAGGGUCA